This 73-nucleotide transfer RNA is filed under the name Thermoproteota archaeon. RNAcentral describes it as "Crenarchaeota archaeon tRNA-Ala". It matches the Rfam family "tRNA". From Rfam's summary of the family: Transfer RNA (tRNA) molecules are approximately 80 nucleotides in length. The record is from RNAcentral. Lineage: Archaea; Thermoproteati; Thermoproteota.
GGGGCCAUAGCAUAAUUGGGAAUGCAUCAGCUUUGCAAGCUGACGACUGUGGGUUCGAGUCCCACUGGCUCCA